This 1518-nucleotide long non-coding RNA is filed under the name Cricetulus griseus (Chinese hamster). RNAcentral's name for it is "lncRNA (ENSCGRG00015041429.1)". Lineage: Eukaryota; Metazoa; Chordata; Mammalia; Rodentia; Cricetidae. The record is from RNAcentral.
CAAAGAUAGAAUACACUAGAGUGCAACUGUGCAGAUAUUUUCUUUCCUUUGUUUGCCUUUAUUCUGCUUUUCUUUUUCUGGCACGGGGAAGGGAGAAAUGAUCAACACUCCUCCCAUAUGCUUCAACUUUCACAUCUGUUUUGCCAUUAUCCAUCCUGCUAAGAUAUAAUUAAUGAGAGCCUUCCCGAAUUUCAUACAUUCUGAAAACCAGCCAAUCCCUUCUCUUUGGAGAAUACAUUGAAAAUAACAAUAAAAGUGAGGUGGUGUGGGCUUUUGAAGUCUUUAGAAAACCCAUCGCUGUGAUCUUUGUUCCACCACUGGGGAACUAGGACAUCACCGCACGUGUCUGGCAUUGUUCGUGACAACACGGCAACAGAAAUAAAGCAAGAGUUUCUGGGAGUAGCAUUAGGAUGCAGCACUCCUGCUGUGCACACCAGUUCCCAGCUCUGCACAGCUGCCUUCUCAGCUGGGGGUUUGAAAUCAGCACUGUGAGAAAAGACAGAAAUGACCGGGAUGCAUGGCCCUCACUAUGAGGAAAAGUUUCUUCUAGGUUUUUCAUUGGCCCUUCUCCUUGGAAAACUGAAUGGUCUUGAACUCGAACUGUGUCUUUAGAAGUCCAGAGAUUGACAAUCCACAGGCAACAAGGCAUCUAGUGUUUGCUGAAUGAACAUUUUACACAAGUCACCGUGGUAAACCAAGAUAUAGCAAAUAAAACAGCAGCCUGUCCUUUCAUUUAAUUUAUGAAGUAUGGGAUAACGUGGGAGGAAGAGGGGCAAAGAUGUCCUGGAAUUUGAAGCUGCUGCCCUGAUCCUAUGACAAUCAUACACUCCUCCCUGCUUUGAUGUUGUGUACUUGCCUGAAGGAAAUGAAGAAAUGUUAAUCAUGGCAAGUGUGUUGGAGUGCCUGGAAGUGAUUUCAAGUUCUUCAAGGCAGAUUGUGAUGUUGAAAGCAGCUUCAUCCAUUUUGUGGCCAUGAAGGAGGAAAAGGAACAAUCAAAAGGAGAAUUCCAGAAAUUCCAGUCUCAAUUUGAUCAAGCUAUUAGAACAAUGGUGCUUGUUGGACAGUGUAUGGCUACUUUGAAGUUUUUCACAUAUAUAUAAUAAUUGUGCAUAUUUCUGGGAUGUGAUGUGUUAUUUUCAUAGAUAUAGGCACUAAAAUUAUCCCAUGUUUAUUCACUCUAAACAAUAGUGUGUGGAGAAUAGUCAUAACUGGAGCUAUGUAACACACAUAGGAACAAUCCAUCAGAGAUUGUUCACAGGUGAACAUUAUGUUAUGAAAUAAAACACUUAAGAAUGAAGUUAAAUACAGUUGUGAUGCUGAAAAAAUAUGAAGUUAAAUGCAGUUGUGAUACUGAAAAAAAGAUGGUGAUCAUUUUACUUGGUAAUCAAAACAGAAUCAAGAAAAUUUCUGAUAUCUUUCCAAGAUCUGUUACAAAAUGAUAUACUUGAUGUUUAUUUUCUCAUAUAAAAUAAGGGAUUACCCUAUUUCUCUGGUUCAGUUUUAGAUGUAAAUUUCAAA